RNAcentral lists this long non-coding RNA (273 nucleotides) under Homo sapiens (human). RNAcentral's name for it is "HSALNT0100540". The record is from RNAcentral. Lineage: Eukaryota; Metazoa; Chordata; Mammalia; Primates; Hominidae.
UGGGUUCUGCGCAAAUUAUAUCCCAGAAACCAGGAAUUGAUCUAGCAAGAAAGUUGGAGGUGACCAGAGGAGCAGGGAGGAAGAAAACUGUUCAAACUGUGAACUCAACAAGGGCCUGUAGCCUAGAAAAUUGGGGCAAGGCCACAGUAGCCCGGCUAGAUGCUGACCCCACCCUGGCAAGGUUGCUUGGGACACUCUGGAAAAGAAGACCACUGCCUACAGGCAGGGCCACUCCACUCGGAACCACCAGAGUUUAUCCAGUAAACACUGAAA